UACGUAGGGUGCGAGCGUUGUCCGGAAUUAUUGGGCGUAAAGGGCUCGUAGGUGGUUUGUCGCGUUGUCCGUGAAAUUCCCUGGCUUAACUGGGGGCGUGCGGGCGAUACGGGCAGACUGGAGUACUGCAGGGGAGACUGGAAUUCCUGGUGUAGCGGUGGAAUGCGUAGAGAUCCGGAAGAACACCGGUGGCGAAGGCGGUUAGCUGGGCAGUUGCUGGACACUUGAGGCGCG
This 234-nucleotide ribosomal RNA is filed under the name uncultured bacterium. Its description in RNAcentral is "partial 16S ribosomal RNA". It matches the Rfam family "Bacterial small subunit ribosomal RNA", at positions 524 to 755 of the family's 1533-position model. The record is from RNAcentral.